CUUCUUGAUUUAAUUCUGGAAGAGUGACUUCUUUAACUGGAGAUUUAAAUCUUUCCAAUGUUUUAUUAAGACUAAAAAUUGGUUUUUCUUUAGCUUUAAUGAAUUUGUCAUUAUCCUUAUUGUCUUUGGUUAAUAAAUAUUUUAACUGUUUAGUGUACUGAGCCUUUAGCUUAGGAUUAGUGAUUUUACUAAUUAGGUCAAUUAACAAAGAACUUUCAUCAUCAUCUUUGUUAAUCACAUUAACUCUUUUAUUGCAACAAUGUUCAUUGCAAUUGUCAGCACAAAUAGUGACUUCUUCAGCGUUACUGCUAGAUUCUUCAUUACUGUUAUUAUUAGAGGAAUAAGAGAUAUUAGAACCUUCAUCAUUACUGACAUCGUUCUC
RNAcentral lists this long non-coding RNA (382 nucleotides) under Panax ginseng (ginseng). RNAcentral describes it as "long non-coding RNA (PGIN_LNC003615)". Lineage: Eukaryota; Viridiplantae; Streptophyta; Magnoliopsida; Apiales; Araliaceae. The record is from RNAcentral.